Molecule: non-coding RNA, 72 nt
Organism: Ochotona curzoniae (black-lipped pika)
Lineage: Eukaryota; Metazoa; Chordata; Mammalia; Lagomorpha; Ochotonidae
Source: the annotation of a RefSeq genome assembly
UAGAGUGUGGUGUAGUUUAUUGCACGGAGAAUUUUGAGUUCUCAGGGAUAGGUUCCAGACCUAGGGCUCCAG